AUACGGAGGGUGCAAGCGUUAAUCGGAAUUACUGGGCGUAAAGCGCGCGUAGGCGGUUUGAUAAGUCGGAUGUGAAAUCCCGGGCUCAACCUGGGAAUUGCAUUCGAUACUGUCAGGCUAGAGUGUGGGAGAGGGAAGUGGAAUUUCCGGUGUAGCGGUGAAAUGCGUAGAUAUCGGAAGGAACACCAGUGGCGAAGGCGGCUUCCUGGACCAACACUGACGCUGAGGUGCGAAAGCGUGGGGAGCAAACAGAAUUAGAAACCCUAGUAGUCC
Molecule: ribosomal RNA, 273 nt
Filed under: uncultured bacterium
Lineage: Bacteria
Description: partial 16S ribosomal RNA
Rfam family: Bacterial small subunit ribosomal RNA
Source: RNAcentral